RNAcentral lists this long non-coding RNA (518 nucleotides) under Oryza brachyantha (malo sina). RNAcentral describes it as "long non-coding RNA (OBRA_LNC000183)". Lineage: Eukaryota; Viridiplantae; Streptophyta; Magnoliopsida; Poales; Poaceae. The record is from RNAcentral.
CCCUGCGGCUGAGGUGACGGCGCGGCGGCGGCUGAGGAUGAAGGGGAGAGGCGUGGACUCCACUUCGUUCGGCUGCAGGCGCGCGACGGCGUAUGCGCGGCCGCGGAGGGGCGUGAGUUGUUCAGCGUGGUGGUUGCAGGGCGGCGCCAUUGUCCGCGCAGCCGGGGGUGGCUGGGCACUGGCGCCCAGGGCCAGCGUGCUCGGAUCUGGCGGUCCUACGGCCAGUUGGCAGGGUGGUGGUAGGCUUAGUUGAGGUCUAAUUGCUUGUGAGGUGAUUUAGAUUAUUCUUUGGUCCUUAUGGAAAUGGAUGUUUUUUGGGUGGUGUGGAGACGCUGGCGAACGAAGUCUGUGGGCGCCGUUUUCCUCUUUGGAGGCGUUGUCUUGGUGUUUUUUUCAUGCCUAUAUUUUUUAAGUGAAAACCUUGUCUUUGAACGAGUAACGAUGGUGUUCCACGUCAUAUCCUUCUUGGGGUGUUGUUUCAGAGAAGUUACUUGUGCAUCGACAACCGUGGAUGGUCC